This 34-nucleotide transfer RNA is filed under the name Pteridium esculentum. Its description in RNAcentral is "partial tRNA-Ser". RNAcentral also lists the same sequence under 4 other names. Lineage: Eukaryota; Viridiplantae; Streptophyta; Polypodiopsida; Polypodiales; Dennstaedtiaceae. The record is from RNAcentral.
CAUCCGACGCUUUAGACCUCUCGGCCAUCUCUCC